UGCCCCAUGGCGCAAUUGGCUAGCGCGUCAGACUGUUAAUCUGGAGGCUCUGAGUUCGACCCUCAGUGGGGCAG
RNAcentral lists this transfer RNA (74 nucleotides) under Pestalotiopsis fici W106-1. RNAcentral's name for it is "tRNA-Asn (GTT) (tRNA-Asn-GTT-1 1 to 3)". It matches the Rfam family "tRNA". Rfam says of the family: Transfer RNA (tRNA) molecules are approximately 80 nucleotides in length. The record is from RNAcentral. Lineage: Eukaryota; Fungi; Ascomycota; Sordariomycetes; Amphisphaeriales; Sporocadaceae.